GUCGAGACGGGAUCCAUCCAGUAGCAAUUCUGGUGAAGAUCUAGCGGCGAACGGGUGAGUAACACGUGAGCAACCUGCCCCGAAGUCUGGGAUAACACCGGGAAACCGGUGCUAAUACCGGAUGUCCUCAUCGAGUCACCUGGCUUGAUGAAGAAAGAUUUAUCGCUUCGGGAGGGGCUCGCGGCCUAUCAGCUUGUUGGCGGGGUAACGGCCCACCAAGGCUUCGACGGGUAGCUGGUCUGAGAGGACGACCAGCCACACUGGGACUGAGACACGGCCCAGACUCCUACGGGAGGCAGCAGUGGGGAAUCUUGCGCAAUGGGCGAAAGCCUGACGCAGCAACGCCGCGUGGGGGAUGAAUGCCUUCGGGUUGUAAACCCCUUUCAGCAGGAACGAAAAUGACGGUACCUGCAGAAGAAGCCCCGGCCAACUACGUGCCAGCAGCCGCGGUAAUACGUAGGGGGCAAGCGUUGUCCGGAUUUAUUGGGCGUAAAGAGCUCGUAGGCGGCUUGGCAAGUCGGGUGUGAAAACUUCAGGCUCAACCUGGAGAUGGCACUCGAUACUGCUAUAGCUAGAGUCCGGUAGGGGACCACGGAAUUCCUGGUGUAGCGGUGAGAUGCGCAGAUAUCAGGAGGAACACCGGUGGCGAAGGCGGUGGUCUGGGCCGGCACUGACGCUGAGGAGCGAAAGCGUGGGGAGCAAACCCCGAUUAGAUACCCCUGGUAGUCCACGCCGUAAACGUUGGGCACUAGGUGUGGGGCCUUAUCAACGGGUUCCGUGCCGCAGCUAACGCAUUAAGUGCCCCGCCUGGGGAGUACGGCCGCAGGCUAAAACUCAAAGGAAUUGACGGGGGCCCCGCACAAGCGGCGGAGCAUGUGGCUUAAUUCGAGGCAACGCGAAGAACCUUACCUGGGUUUGAACUACCG
RNAcentral lists this ribosomal RNA (926 nucleotides) under uncultured Actinomycetes bacterium. RNAcentral's name for it is "bacterial SSU rRNA". It matches the Rfam family "Bacterial small subunit ribosomal RNA", at positions 61 to 991 of the family's 1533-position model. The record is from RNAcentral. Lineage: Bacteria; Bacillati; Actinomycetota; Actinomycetes.